GGGGUGUAGUAUAGUAGUGCUGUAUGGAGGGGGGUGUAGUAUAGUAGUGCUGUAUGGAGUGGUGCUGUAUGGAGGGGGGGUGUAGUAUAGUAGUGCUGUAUGGAGGGGGUGUAGUAUAGUAGUGCUGUAUGGAGGGGGUGUAGUAUAGUAGUGCUGUAUGGGGGGGUGUAGUAUAGUAGUGCUGUAUGGGGGGUGUAGUAUAGUAGUGCUGUAUGGAGGGGGUGUAGUAUAGUAGUGCUGUAUGGGGGUGUAGUAUAGUAGUGCUGUAUGGGGGGGUGUAGUAUAGUAGUGCUGUAUGGAGAAGUGUAGUAUAGUAGUGCUGUAUGGGGGUGUAGUAUAGUAGUGCUGUAUGGGGGGGGGUGUAGUAUAGUAGUGCUGUAUGGGGGGUGUAGUAUAGUAGUGCCGUAUGGAGGUGGGGUGUAGUAUAGUAGUGAUGUAUGGAGGGGGGUGUAGUAUAGUGGUGCUGUAUGGAGGGGGGUGUAGUAUAGUAGUGCUGUAUGGAGGGGGGGUGUAGUAUAGUAGUGCUGUAUGGAGGGGGG
Molecule: long non-coding RNA, 539 nt
Organism: Oncorhynchus tshawytscha (Chinook salmon)
Lineage: Eukaryota; Metazoa; Chordata; Actinopteri; Salmoniformes; Salmonidae
Source: Ensembl